CGCUCGCUAUCCCGCGCCAGUGUUUUUUCUUUUCUCCCCGUGUAGCUUCUUCUGUCUCUUUCCUCGCCGCUCGACCCCCUUGUCAUUUCGAACAUGUAAUCCGGAACAGAGGCGAGUGAGAGAGAUCGCCAUGGCGAUUUGGAGCUGCCCCUCGCCGCUCCAGGCCCCAUUAUUUCGCCGCUCGUCGAUUUUGUUCGUCUGAUUUGCAACAGCAUGUGGAGCCUACGCCUGAUAUGCCAAACUACAUGGAAUGGCAGAGCACUGUUCAGGUCAUGUCUGGUGUGUUAGGAAGUAGUUUCAGUGCAAUUAUUUUUUAGUGCAGUGAAUUUUAUGGAUUACAGUGGAAUUAAUAGCUAAUGGAAUUUCGAAGUUUGAUUUAAACUGUAAUUCCUACUAAUUUUGAGUGUAAUUAUCAGUUGAUUUUCCUCUGUAAUGCUUAUUUUUGGAAUUUGAAUUUUCUUUUAGUGGAAUUACAGUGUAAUUGUUAGUGGAAUUGAAGGUGCAUAAGUUACACUGUAAUUCUGAACUUUUUUCACUGUAAUCCGUGAUGAUUUACAGUGUAAUUAUUGAUUUUGCUCUGUAUUACCCAGUGGAA
This is a long non-coding RNA of Triticum dicoccoides, 595 nucleotides long. RefSeq lists it as uncharacterized. The record is from RefSeq and is a predicted model, not a curated record. The transcript has 2 exons. NCBI's taxonomy places the organism in Eukaryota, Viridiplantae, Streptophyta, Magnoliopsida, Poales, Poaceae.